This 60-nucleotide transfer RNA is filed under the name Onchocerca volvulus. RNAcentral's name for it is "tRNA OVOC13531". The record is from RNAcentral. Lineage: Eukaryota; Metazoa; Nematoda; Chromadorea; Rhabditida; Onchocercidae.
AAAUUUUCUAGUUUAAUUAUAUUUAAAAUAUUUAGUUGUGGUCUAAAAGAUUUGAAAAUU